UAUGAGUGGCGAACGGGUGAGUAACACGUGAGUAACCUGCCCUCUUCUUUGGGAUAACGCCCGGAAACGGGUGCUAAUACUGGAUAUUCACUGGCCUUCGCAUGGGGGUUGGUGGAAAGGUUUGUUCUGGUGGGGGAUGGGCUCGCGGCCUAUCAGCUUGUUGGUGGGUGAUGGCCUACCAAGGCUUUGACGGGUAGCCGGCCUGAGAGGGUGACCGGUCACAUUGGGACUGAGAUACGGCCCAG
This 245-nucleotide ribosomal RNA is filed under the name uncultured bacterium. Its description in RNAcentral is "partial 16S ribosomal RNA". It matches the Rfam family "Bacterial small subunit ribosomal RNA", at positions 90 to 334 of the family's 1533-position model. The record is from RNAcentral.